RNAcentral lists this microRNA precursor (88 nucleotides) under Canis lupus familiaris (dog). RNAcentral's name for it is "mir-8799 microRNA precursor family". It matches the Rfam family "mir-8799 microRNA precursor family". RNAcentral also lists the same sequence under 1 other name. Lineage: Eukaryota; Metazoa; Chordata; Mammalia; Carnivora; Canidae. The record is from Rfam by way of RNAcentral.
GGGAGCGCAGGAUCCUGGGCUGUGUCCCCCGCGCCCUGGGAUCCGGGGCCUGCGCUGCUGGAAUUGUGUUCCCGGGGCCGCGGCUCCC